Molecule: ribosomal RNA, 488 nt
Filed under: uncultured organism
Description: bacterial SSU rRNA
Rfam family: Bacterial small subunit ribosomal RNA
Source: RNAcentral
GAUGAACGCUAGCGGCAGGCCUAACACAUGCAAGUCGAGGGGCAGCGGGAAAAAGCUUGCUUUUUUGCCGGCGACCGGCGCACGGGUGCGGAACGCGUAUGGAACCUGCCCCUGUCAGGGGAAUAGCCCAGGGAAACUUGGAUUAAUGCCCCAUGGUACCGCGAUAUCGCAUGAUAUUGUGGUUAAAGAUUUAUCGGACAGGGAUGGCCAUGCGUACCAUUAGUUAGUUGGUAAGGUAACGGCUUACCAAGGCAACGAUGGUUAGGGGCCCUGAGAGGGGGAUCCCCCACACUGGUACUGAGACACGGACCAGACUCCUACGGGAGGCAGCAGUGAGGAAUAUUGGACAAUGGUCGUAAGACUGAUCCAGCCAUGCCGCGUGCAGGAUGACGGCCCUAUGGGUUGUAAACUGCUUUUAUACGGGAAGAAACGCACCUACGUGUAGGUGUCUGACGGUACCGUAAGAAUAAGGACCGGCUAACUCCGUG